UUUCUCGUUGGGAAGAGCUCUCUCUGCAUCAGUGGUAGAGCGGUCGGCUGUUAACCGACUGGUCGUAGGUUCGAAUCCUACUUGGGGAGA
RNAcentral lists this transfer RNA (90 nucleotides) under Rubus eucalyptus. RNAcentral describes it as "tRNA-Leu". The stretch from base 26 to 81 matches the Rfam family "tRNA", at positions 10 to 63 of the family's 71-position model. From Rfam's summary of the family: Transfer RNA (tRNA) molecules are approximately 80 nucleotides in length. Their secondary structure includes four short double-helical elements and three loops (D, anti-codon, and T loops). Further hydrogen bonds mediate the characteristic L-shaped molecular structure. tRNAs have two regions of fundamental functional importance: the anti-codon, which is responsible for specific mRNA codon recognition, and the 3' end, to which the tRNAs corresponding amino acid is attached (by aminoacyl-tRNA synthetases). tRNAs cope with the degeneracy of the genetic code in two manners: having more than one tRNA (with a specific anti-codon) for a particular amino acid; and 'wobble' base-pairing, i.e. permitting non-standard base-pairing at the 3rd anti-codon position. The record is from RNAcentral. Lineage: Eukaryota; Viridiplantae; Streptophyta; Magnoliopsida; Rosales; Rosaceae.